MicroRNA precursor from Chlorocebus sabaeus (green monkey), 100 nucleotides. The record is from Ensembl. Lineage: Eukaryota; Metazoa; Chordata; Mammalia; Primates; Cercopithecidae.
GAGGUGGGAGGAUUGCUUGAGCCCAGGAGGUUGAGGCUGCAGUGAGCUGUGGUCAUACCACUGCCCUCCAGCCUGGGUGACAGAGCAAGACCCUGUCUCA